This 1629-nucleotide long non-coding RNA is filed under the name Homo sapiens (human). RNAcentral's name for it is "long non-coding RNA NONHSAT204939.1". Lineage: Eukaryota; Metazoa; Chordata; Mammalia; Primates; Hominidae. The record is from RNAcentral.
GAGAGAAGUGCAAGAUCACACUUCUGCAGCUCUUUUUUUCUCCUUCUGGCACAUUUUUCAUUUUUAAGACCCCACGUCCUCCAUAUAUGCUUUCCUGGCCCACCCAUUUCCCUCCUCCCCUUACACAGAUGGAGAACUUCCUUUCUGGUGUUCUCUCAGCACUCAGCACAGAUUGCUAGUGCUUUUAUGUGCUGAGCCUUUCCCUUCAACCUGGACUGAAAGAGGAUGGCAAUCUCGCUGAAGCUGUUUCUUUUUCUUCACAACAUAUAGGAAAGUGUUGCCCCUUUUUGGAGGCAACACUACUUGAAUCAGUACUGAACGAAUGUCAGGUCCUUGGGAAAUUCUCCAAUCCUGUCUCCUGUCCUGGCCGGGUGUGCUCCUGGUGCACCAUUCGACUAAGUCAAUUUGAACUAUUUGGGAGACCUUUGUACCUACGUUUCCUUCUGCUUGGAAGAUCCUUUCUGUUUUGUCAGCUCUUACUUCCAUGUUGUGGAAAACUGAUCUGACCUCCUAGUCCUGAAUCAGGGGGCCAUAAAGAAAAUUGAUGAGGACAACUGGCCUCCCAGUAUGUGGAUUCAGUUUCCAUAUGUCAAUUUACCAACUCCCACUGGUAGUCUGAAGAGAUAUGGCUACUGGAGAACAGAAAAUCACCAGUAUUAAUAAAAGCAAUUUUAAGUGUUUACCUUUUAGUAUUUGAAUAGCUUUGUUAAAGAGACGUACUCAAGAAUACUAUGAAGAGACUCUUAUUGUACUCCUUACCUGGAGAUAAUUGUGAUGCCAGAAAUUCAAAUUUAUAUUCAACAAUAUGGUUUUUCAACCAUCAAUAUUAUAAACAUCUAGGCAGUGUCUAUUGUUUGCGCAUUUGCCAUCCUCUAAAAUGAGAUUAUUCUAAGCAUAAAUUAUACUUCAUCAUUCAAGAUUAUAAACAUUUAUAAUAAUCAUAAUAUUCACAGACAUUUCCCUGCUCUCAAAUCACUAGAGCUAAUAGGCAAAGUAGAUACAGCUACAAACAGUGGGAGAAAAUAUUUCUGGCUGACCUACAAAUAGCUGUGCAAUAAUGUAGAGAGGAAAAUAUAGUCUCACUUACAGUGUCUGAAAUUGAGUUUCCCUCUUUAAAGGACAAAGUAAUUUUCAAAAAUAUUUGAGUAUUAUUCUGUGUAAAAAAUCUCUGUUUUAACUGGCUUAUUGAAUUGUAUUUCUUUAUUGUGUUUGUAUUCACUUUUCCAUUUGUGGGUGGAAUUUAUUAUAAUUACCAGUUUUAUACUGAAUGAAACAAAAAUCUCAUAGAUUUAAUAAAACUUUAAAUUCCUUGUCAUUAAUAAUAAAAUGUAUAUGCUUUCUCUAAUAAGUCCAUACUUUAUUGUUUAAAACCUGUUUUUCCUCUUUCUCAAGCACAUGGAUUGUUAAUUUAAAUUCUGAAAUAAAGCCAAUUAAUCCAUAAACAUGGACUGUGGAUAAUGUCGAUAUUACAUGUAAAUUUCUCAGUGUGUGUUUCGUGGACCCAAUAGCAUCAGCAUUAGCUGGGGACUUACGAGGUGGCCUGUGCCUGUAGUCCCAGCUACUCAGGAGGCUGAGGCAGGAGAAUCGCUUGAACCUGGGAGGUGGAGGUUGGAGUGACCGAGAUCGUGC